This 1527-nucleotide long non-coding RNA is filed under the name Taeniopygia guttata (zebra finch). RNAcentral's name for it is "lncRNA (ENSTGUG00000021315.1)". Lineage: Eukaryota; Metazoa; Chordata; Aves; Passeriformes; Estrildidae. The record is from RNAcentral.
AUGGAAAGAAUCAUCCUUCUCCUCCAGGUGUCCAUGUCUGAAACUGGGAUUCCACCUCUAAAAUUCCCUAUAUCCAAGGGUUGCUCCCAGCCAAAACCUGCCAGUACCAUCACGUCUGUCUGGCCUUGGCCUCUGGUGGCUGUCCCUGCCACACUGGGGCUCGGUUCUUUCCUUCCCGUGGAGAUUACUGUGACACUCUGGGCACCUCAUGGAGCCAAGGGGAUCAUUGUGGCACCACUGGAGCCCAUGGAACCAAGGGGCCAUGGUGACACUGUGGGGCUUCAUGGACCCAGAGACCACCAUGACUCUGUGGGGCCUGAUGGAACCAUGGAGACCAUUCCGACCCUUCGGGGCCUCGUGUCACCAAGGGGGCAUUGUGACACCUCAGGGCCUCCUGGAAGCAACGGACCAUUGGGACACUGUGGGGCCCCAUGGAACCGAGGGAACAUGGAACAGCUCUGGCUGGCUUGGCCUCCCAGGGGCCACCUGACAGGGUAUCUCUAAGAACAAAAUCUGGCAGCUCUGGAUUGCUUUGGCCUGUGGUAGUCACCUCUCAUCUGCCCCUAAAACACUGGGGCUCUGUUCCUUCAUUCCUAUGGAGAAGAACUGGUCUUCAUGUCCAGGAACCAUGGCCAAAAUUAGAAGUGGCCACUGAGCCUGGCCAGGGUCAUGUAACCAUCUGCAGGCCCCGGGGGAGAUAUUGACUCUUCCAGUGCUGCCAUCCUCCCUCCAGUGAGAGAAAAGGACAAAAGGCAGGCACACAGAGGAGCAACAUGAAGACACUGAGGUCACUGAAGAGGAAGUUGAGUCCCAGACGGGAGAGAUGAGGAGAUGCCUUGAUCUUGGGGCUGAAAUCCUCUGGUAAAGCUCUGGAGAAGGAUGUCAUUGAUACAUCCAACUCUCUUUUUCCCUAUAACGCAUUGAAAUGUAUGGGGAGAUUACUUGUUUCAGCAAAGGCCUCCAUGCUAAAGCAAGCAAAUAUUGCAGUAGCUGUGAUCCCAUGAGAAGUCUGAACAGAGAAAGAGAGCAAAGUGAUGAGACCCUGUGCCCUCAGGGAAAGAAGAAGACCUCUUUUCCCAGAGAUGAAGAUGAUUUCAGAAAGAGAUGAAGAGGACACUUGCUCUUAAACAGCUCAUCUUGAAACUCAUACCCCAUAAGCUGAUAUGGGCCAUAAACACAACUGUGGAGCUGUGAAAAAAUUGGAGGGACUUUACGAUACCAGACUUUUCCAGGCAGCUGUUAUUUGUGGAAACUGAGACCCAGGAGAUAAAUGUUUCUUAUGGAGAAGUCUCCAUAGCAAGAAAGAGAGACUCCUCUCCCUAAAGGAGAAAUUAUUCUAAGGGUGGAAAACUGGCAGAAAAUUUUAGGUUUUGGCUCUUUACAUUGUCAGUAACAAAGAAAAGGUUAUACGGAGAGAAGAAGUGUUCUGAAAGUUUUGUUCUGAUUCUUAUUACUCUCUUUUAGUUGCCAUUAAUAAACUUUUCUUAAAAAGUUUAAUAUUUUCUUUUAAAGCUCUGAACCCUCUUU